Molecule: ribosomal RNA, 368 nt
Filed under: uncultured bacterium
Lineage: Bacteria
Description: bacterial SSU rRNA
Rfam family: Bacterial small subunit ribosomal RNA
Source: RNAcentral
GGGCCCGCACAAGCGGUGGAGUAUGUGGUUUAAUUCGAUGCAACGCGAAGAACCUUACCAGGGUUUGACAUCCUGCGAAUCUCUUGGAAACAGGAGAGUGCCUUCGGGAACGCAGUGACAGGUGGUGCAUGGCUGUCGUCAGCUCGUGUCGUGAGAUGUUGGGUUAAGUCCCGCAACGAGCGCAACCCACGUCUUUAGUUGCCAGCAUUUAGUUGGGCACUCUAGAGAGACUGCCGGUGAUAAACCGGAGAAGGUGUGGAUGACGUCAAGUCAUCAUGCCCCUUACAUCUGGGCUACACACGUGCUACAAUGGCCGGUACAGAGGGCAGCAAACUCGCGAGAGCUAGCAAAUCCCAUAAACGUGGCUC